RNAcentral lists this ribosomal RNA (237 nucleotides) under uncultured bacterium. RNAcentral describes it as "partial 16S ribosomal RNA". It matches the Rfam family "Bacterial small subunit ribosomal RNA", at positions 104 to 334 of the family's 1533-position model. The record is from RNAcentral.
UGGGUGCGUAACGCGUACAUGACCUACCUUUUAGUGGGGGAUACUCCCGGGAAACUGGGCAUAAUACCGCAUGGGAUUGUUUAGCUGCAUGGUUUUACAAUCAAAGCCCUUCACGGGGUGCUAAAAGAUGGAUGUGCGUCCUAUUAGGUAGUUGGAGAGGUAACGGCUCCCCAAGCCAACGAUAGGUAGCUGGUCUGGGAGGAUGAACAGCCACACGGGCACUGAGACACGGGCCCG